RNAcentral lists this ribosomal RNA (253 nucleotides) under uncultured bacterium. Its description in RNAcentral is "partial 16S ribosomal RNA". It matches the Rfam family "Bacterial small subunit ribosomal RNA", at positions 524 to 776 of the family's 1533-position model. The record is from RNAcentral.
UACAGAGGGGGCAAGCGUUAUUCGGAAUUAUUGGGCGUAAAGGGUGCGUAGGCGGCGCGGUAAGUCGGGUGUGAAAUCUCGGGGCUUAACUCCGAAACUGCAUUCGAUACUGCCGUGCUUGAGGACUGGAGAGGAGACUGGAAUUUACGGUGUAGCGGUGAAAUGCGUAGAUAUCGUAAGGAAGACCAGUGGCGAAGGCGGGUCUCUGGACAGUUCCUGACGCUGAGGCACGAAGGCCAGGGGAGCAAACGGG